CCAUCAACAAAGCCUCCAAGAAACUGAAGACCAUAAAAAUUGAAAACCUAGCUAAAAUCUCCACCAAAAAGUCCACGACCAAAAUGAUAGACCACGUCAAGAUUAGCCUCAAAGAAUCUAGCCAUGAUUUGUCCUUGUUCAAGUUCAAAUAUGAAACCAUUGUCACCCUCAUACUGUUCGAAGAGAAAGUUGUGGUGAAAUUAUCGUUCAAGCCCUGUGGGAUUGUCAUGAAAAUGAGCCAUCGUAGGUUACAAGGCGACAUGUUAAAGUGAGAGUAAAAUAGAAACUUACACUUUUGCCACAUCAUUUCGAUUUGGGAUGGAUUGGCCGAUGAAAUUGCUUGGAAUUCAGUAGUUGGG
RNAcentral lists this long non-coding RNA (359 nucleotides) under Citrus sinensis (sweet orange). RNAcentral describes it as "long non-coding RNA (CSIN_LNC002509)". The record is from RNAcentral. Lineage: Eukaryota; Viridiplantae; Streptophyta; Magnoliopsida; Sapindales; Rutaceae.